Molecule: long non-coding RNA, 1870 nt
Filed under: Triticum aestivum (bread wheat)
Lineage: Eukaryota; Viridiplantae; Streptophyta; Magnoliopsida; Poales; Poaceae
Description: long non-coding RNA (TAES_LNC014536)
Source: RNAcentral
ACAUAUUCACAUGAUAAAUUAGCAGCCAAUUGUCCAAACUUAAAUACAGAAUGCAAUGCGAAGAACUGCCCACCUAAUCAUUGCCAACUACAUCGCCAGGAGUAUAUUGAGAGAAAUCAUCAAAUCUGGCCAGAACAAAAGAUUCCCAUGUAGCUAGCUUAAUUAGUAUAUGUCCAAAAUAUUGUUUCCAAAAAGAAACAUGAGUUACAGUUUAGUAGGACCGAGAAGGAUUCAAGAUUAUAAAAGGAGCUGGGAUACACAUUCUUAUUAAAAUUAUUGGUUCAGAUCUGUGUAGCUUUCAAGGGGCUACCAAUCAAUCCAUAUGUCCAUCAAUGCAAUACUUUCAGAAGGGCACCACUCAAUCCAUUUGAGCAUCUCCUUUUUGCAUUAAUAGAAGAGGAGCUAGCAUACCUGUAGAUGGGUUGGUGAUGGUGAGGUCGCCAGCAAGUAGACCUAGCUGCAGAGGACACCGCCUCCCCCGCACUGUACUGCGUCAAACCUGGAAGUGCACAUAUUAAAGCAAGAGUUUAUCUACCACAUAAGAAAGCACAUACAUAAAAGCAGCAACAAUUGAGUUGGGCACACACGAACAUUGACAAAGCAAAUAAGGAGAAGGCAUGCGGCUGGCUACCGAAAAUAGAGAAAACCACACAAGCAUGGAUAUGAAUACAUAAAUAAAUAUACACAGGGCGACCCAACCUUGAGUCACAGAACCUCUUUUCCUCCAGUCAUGCCAGUGCCUUGAGAAUUAUUUGUCUUCGUACACAUGCUAGCGGUUACACUCGACACUUGUUUAAAAGCAGAGAAUGACAUGUACAUGAGUGGACGACAUGAUGGCCUUGAUGGAAAAUGAAACGUACACAGCAAAUCAUCCCCCCUUGAAGCCAAUACAAAAACGACGGUCUCACUCAUUUGACCCGAAUAAUGAACACAACAUAUUUAUGCCCGAAGAAAUAGUUUUUUGCUACAAAUAGAUGAAUCAAAGUAAAUAAGAAUAUUUUGUCCUAUAAGCAAAAAAAAACUCUAGACAAACACAACCAAAAUGUACGCACUGAAGCACAAGAUUUCCUCGGCACAACACACCUAAAAAAUGUUGGCGCAUGAGAAGCUACUUCCUAUAUGAACACAGAAGAAACCAAUCAUCAUGCAUUCUGAAUCUAAUUCCAAUGCAUACAAAAUGCACACCUGAUCAUCAACCAAGUUCUUUAGGUAAAUCAGUUACUUUGAAUGAGCGUACACAUUUGAGUUAUCUUAGCUGCUCAAGGCCUGAACCAAACAUUGAUUACCACUAUUAAUCCAUACAUACAACAAUAAUCAUAGCUUGAGUGCUUAGCUGCGUACCACCCAUGUACAUGGUUAGAAAACUGCAAUGCUUACAAUUUUAAGGACCCAUCACCCAUAUAAAAGGAAAUGAACCUUCAGAAUGUGAUAUUACUUGUUUCUUCUCUCUCAGUAAAACAACUCAUGGUUUUCUCUUGAGGAGAAAGGGGGGUCAGCUAGGAGGGAGGUCGAGGAGGAGGGACGGUCGCAUGCUGUCAUGGUCACAUUGCCUAGCAUGAUUCAGAAUCCAAACAAAAUAAUUUUGAAAUUCACCAUCAAAUGUAAAAUUUCUUAUGAUUACCAAAAUGAAAACAUCAUAUAAUGCAUCUUCUGUAAAGCAAAGAAACCACACAUAUAUCUUUUUCCUUGAAACUGAAUGAUCCUUAGCACCAGCCCAAAACAACAUUCUACUAUCAAAAUCCACAAAUUAGUAAAAGAAACAUUUGCAUCACAUUUUUACUACCUGUACAAACAUGCCUUGCCAAAGUUGAAACAUAAGUAAAGCAAAAGUAUUUUUCUCAGACUCACACACACACCUUUUAACUGCGGA